CGGCUACUACAUCCAAGGAAGGCAGCAGGCGCGCAAAUUACCCAAUCCCGACACGGGGAGGUAGUGACAAUAAAUACUGAUACAGGGCUCUUUUGGGUCUUGUAAUUGGAAUGAGUACAAUUUAAAUCCCUUAACGAGGAACAAUUGGAGGGCAAGUCUGGUGCCAGCAGCCGCGGUAAUUCCAGCUCCAAUAGCGUAUAUUAAAGUUGUUGUGGUUAAAAAGCUCGUAGUUGAACCUUGGGCCUGGCUGGCCGGUCCGCCUCACCGCGUGCACUGGUCCGGCCGGGCCUUUCCCUCUGUGGAACCCCAUGCCCUUCACUGGGUGUGGCGGGGAAACAGGACUUUUACUUUGAAAAAAUUAGAGUGCUCCAGGCAGGCCUAUGCUCGAAUACAUUAGCAUGGAAUAAUGAAAUAGGACGUGCGGUUCUAUUUUGUUGGUUUCUAGGACCGCCGUAAUGAUUAAUAGGGACAGUCGGGGGCAUCAGUAUUCAAUUGUCAGAGGUGAAAUUCUUGGAUUUAUUGAAGACUAACUACUGCGAAAGCAUUUGCCAAGGAUGUUUUCAUUAAUCAGGAACGAAAGUUAGGGGAUCGAAGACGAUCAGAUACCGUCGUAGUCUUAACCAUAAACUAUGCCGACUA
Molecule: ribosomal RNA, 639 nt
Filed under: Cordyceps gunnii
Lineage: Eukaryota; Fungi; Ascomycota; Sordariomycetes; Hypocreales; Cordycipitaceae
Description: SSU rRNA
Rfam family: Eukaryotic small subunit ribosomal RNA
Source: RNAcentral